RNAcentral lists this ribosomal RNA (253 nucleotides) under uncultured bacterium. Its description in RNAcentral is "partial 16S ribosomal RNA". It matches the Rfam family "Bacterial small subunit ribosomal RNA", at positions 524 to 776 of the family's 1533-position model. The record is from RNAcentral.
UACGUAGGGGGCUAGCGUUGUCCGGAAUCAUUGGGCGUAAAGAGCGUGUAGGCGGCCCGGUAAGUCCGCUGUGAAAGUCGGGGGCUCAACCCUCGGAUGCCGGUGGAUACUGUCGGGCUCGAGUACGGAAGAGGCGAGUGGAAUUCCUGGUGUAGCGGUGAAAUGCGUAGAUAUCGGGAGGAACACCAGUGGCGAAGGCGACUUCCUGGCCUGUUCUUGACGCUGAGGCGCGAAAGCUAGGGGAGCAAACGGG